RNAcentral lists this ribosomal RNA (117 nucleotides) under Jaculus jaculus (lesser Egyptian jerboa). Lineage: Eukaryota; Metazoa; Chordata; Mammalia; Rodentia; Dipodidae. The record is from RNAcentral.
CUUGGCAGGUAUGGAUACUACACCCUGAAUGUGCCCGAUCUCAUCUGAUCUCAGAAGGUAAGUAAGGUCGGACCUGGUUAUCACUUGGAUGAUAGACAGAGGAUGGGUACGCCAAGG